AGCGUACACGGUGGAUGCCCUGGCAGUCAGAGGCGAUGAAGGACGUGCUAAUCUGCGAUAAGCGUCGGUAAGGUGAUAUGAACCGUUAUAACCGGCGAUUUCCGAAUGGGGAAACCCAGUGUGUUUCGACACACUAUCAUUAACUGAAUCCAUAGGUUAAUGAGGCGAACCGGGGGAACUGAAACAUCUAAGUACCCCGAGGAAAAGAAAUCAACCGAGAUUCCCCCAGUAGCGGCGAGCGAACGGGGAGCAGCCCAGAGCCUGAAUCAGUGUGUGUGUUAGUGGAAGCGUCUGGAAAGGCGCGCGAUACAGGGUGACAGCCCCGUACACAAAAAUGCACAUACUGUGAGCUCGAUGAGUAGGGCGGGACACGUGGUAUCCUGUCUGAAUAUGGGGGGACCAUCCUCCAAGGCUAAAUACUCCUGACUGACCGAUAGUGAACCAGUACCGUGAGGGAAAGGCGAAAAGAACCCCGGCGAGGGGAGUGAAAAAGAACCUGAAACCGUGUACGUACAAGCAGUGGGAGCCUCUUAAUGGGGUGACUGCGUACCUUUUGUAUAAUGGGUCAGCGACUUAUAUUCUGUAGCAAGGUUAACCGAAUAGGGGAGCCGAAGGGAAACCGAGUCUUAACUGGGCGUUAAGUUGCAGGGUAUAGACCCGAAACCCGGUGAUCUAGCCAUGGGCAGGUUGAAGGUUGGGUAACACUAACUGGAGGACCGAACCGACUAAUGUUGAAAAAUUAGCGGAUGACUUGUGGCUGGGGGUGAAAGGCCAAUCAAACCGGGAGAUAGCUGGUUCUCCCCGAAAGCUAUUUAGGUAGCGCCUCGUGAAUUCAUCUCCGGGGGUAGAGCACUGUUUCGGCAAGGGGGUCAUCCCGACUUACCAACCCGAUGCAAACUGCGAAUACCGGAGAAUGUUAUCACGGGAGACACACGGCGGGUGCUAACGUCCGUCGUGAAGAGGGAAACAACCCAGACCGCCAGCUAAGGUCCCAAAGUCAUGGUUAAGUGGGAAACGAUGUGGGAAGGCCCAGACAGCCAGGAUGUUGGCUUAGAAGCAGCCAUCAUUUAAAGAAAGCGUAAUAGCUCACUGGUCGAGUCGGCCUGCGCGGAAGAUGUAACGGGGCUAAACCAUGCACCGAAGCUGCGGCAGCGACACUAUGUGUUGUUGGGUAGGGGAGCGUUCUGUAAGCCUGCGAAGGUGUACUGUGAGGUAUGCUGGAGGUAUCAGAAGUGCGAAUGCUGACAUAAGUAACGAUAAAGCGGGUGAAAAGCCCGCUCGCCGGAAGACCAAGGGUUCCUGUCCAACGUUAAUCGGGGCAGGGUGAGUCGACCCCUAAGGCGAGGCCGAAAGGCGUAGUCGAUGGGAAACAGGUUAAUAUUCCUGUACUUGGUGUUACUGCGAAGGGGGGACGGAGAAGGCUAUGUUGGCCGGGCGACGGUUGUCCCGGUUUAAGCGUGUAGGCUGGUUUUCCAGGCAAAUCCGGAAAAUCAAGGCUGAGGCGUGAUGACGAGGCACUACGGUGCUGAAGCAACAAAUGCCCUGCUUCCAGGAAAAGCCUCUAAGCAUCAGGUAACAUCAAAUCGUACCCCAAACCGACACAGGUGGUCAGGUAGAGAAUACCAAGGCGCUUGAGAGAACUCGGGUGAAGGAACUAGGCAAAAUGGUGCCGUAACUUCGGGAGAAGGCACGCUGAUAUGUAGGUGAAGUCCCUUGCGGAUGGAGCUGAAAUCAGUCGAAGAUACCAGCUGGCUGCAACUGUUUAUUAAAAACACAGCACUGUGCAAACACGAAAGUGGACGUAUACGGUGUGACGCCUGCCCGGUGCCGGAAGGUUAAUUGAUGGGGUUAGCGGUAACGCGAAGCUCUUGAUCGAAGCCCCGGUAAACGGCGGCCGUAACUAUAACGGUCCUAAGGUAGCGAAAUUCCUUGUCGGGUAAGUUCCGACCUGCACGAAUGGCGUAAUGAUGGCCAGGCUGUCUCCACCCGAGACUCAGUGAAAUUGAACUCGCUGUGAAGAUGCAGUGUACCCGCGGCAAGACGGAAAGACCCCGUGAACCUUUACUAUAGCUUGACACUGAACAUUGAGCCUUGAUGUGUAGGAUAGGUGGGAGGCUUUGAAGUGUGGACGCCAGUCUGCAUGGAGCCGGCCUUGAAAUACCACCCUUUAAUGUUUGAUGUUCUAACGUUGGCCCCUGAUCGGGGUUGCGGACAGUGUCUGGUGGGUAGUUUGACUGGGGCGGUCUCCUCCUAAAGAGUAACGGAGGAGCACGAAGGUUGGCUAAUCCUGGUCGGACAUCAGGAGGUUAGUGCAAUGGCAUAAGCCAGCUUGACUGCGAGCGUGACGGCGCGAGCAGGUGCGAAAGCAGGUCAUAGUGAUCCGGUGGUUCUGAAUGGAAGGGCCAUCGCUCAACGGAUAAAAGGUACUCCGGGGAUAACAGGCUGAUACCGCCCAAGAGUUCAUAUCGACGGCGGUGUUUGGCACCUCGAUGUCGGCUCAUCACAUCCUGGGGCUGAAGUAGGUCCCAAGGGUAUGGCUGUUCGCCAUUUAAAGUGGUACGCGAGCUGGGUUUAGAACGUCGUGAGACAGUUCGGUCCCUAUCUGCCGUGGGCGCUGGAGAACUGAGGGGGGCUGCUCCUAGUACGAGAGGACCGGAGUGGACGCAUCACUGGUGUUCGGGUUGUCAUGCCAAUGGCACUGCCCGGUAGCUAAAUGCGGAAGAGAUAAGUGCUGAAAGCAUCUAAGCACGAAACUUGCCCCGAGAUGAGUUCU
Molecule: ribosomal RNA, 2773 nt
Filed under: Escherichia coli
Lineage: Bacteria; Pseudomonadati; Pseudomonadota; Gammaproteobacteria; Enterobacterales; Enterobacteriaceae
Description: bacterial LSU rRNA
Rfam family: Bacterial large subunit ribosomal RNA
Source: RNAcentral